This 255-nucleotide ribosomal RNA is filed under the name uncultured bacterium. RNAcentral's name for it is "partial 16S ribosomal RNA". It matches the Rfam family "Bacterial small subunit ribosomal RNA", at positions 524 to 776 of the family's 1533-position model. The record is from RNAcentral.
UACGGGGGGGAGCAAGCGUUGUUCGGAUUUACUGGGCGUAAAGGGCGCGUAGGCGGCCACCGCAAGUCGGUUGUGAAAUCUCCGGGCUUAACCCGGAAAGGUCAAUCGAUACUGCGGGGCUAGAGUGCAGAAGGGGCAACUGGAAUUCUCGGUGUAGCGGUGAAAUGCGUAGAUAUCGAGAGGAACACCUGCGGCGAAGGCGGGUUGCUGGGCUGACACUGACGCUGAAGCGCGAAAGCUAGGGGAGCGAACGGG